This 301-nucleotide ribosomal RNA is filed under the name uncultured bacterium. RNAcentral's name for it is "partial 16S ribosomal RNA". It matches the Rfam family "Bacterial small subunit ribosomal RNA", at positions 509 to 807 of the family's 1533-position model. The record is from RNAcentral.
CAGUAGCCGCGGUAAUACGUAGGGUGCAAGCGUUAAUCGGAAAUACUGGGCGUAAAGCGUGCGCAGGCGGCUUUGCAAGACAGAUGUGAAAUCCCCGGGCUCAACCUGGGAACUGCAUUUGUGACUGCAUGGCUAGAGUACGGUAGAGGGGGAUGGAAUUCCGCGUGUAGCAGUGAAAUGCGUAGAUAUGCAGAGGAACACCGAUGGCGAAGGCAAUCCCCUGGACCUGUACUGACGCUCAUGCACGAAAGCGUGGGGAGCAAACAGGAUUAGAUACCCGUGUAGUCCCUGUCUCUUAUAC